This 477-nucleotide ribosomal RNA is filed under the name uncultured bacterium. RNAcentral's name for it is "bacterial SSU rRNA". It matches the Rfam family "Bacterial small subunit ribosomal RNA", at positions 43 to 518 of the family's 1533-position model. The record is from RNAcentral.
CGUGCCUAACACAUGCAAGUCGAGCGGACAUACAGAAUGAAGAGAAUUCGUCAAAUCGCUGUAUGUUAGCGGCGGAUGGGUGAGGAACGCGUGGAGAACCUGCCCUUCACAGGGGGAUAACAGUUGGAAACGACUGUUAAUACCGCAUAUGCUCACAGUACCGCAUGGUACAGGGAGGAAAGCCGAGACGGUGAAGGAUGGCUCCGCGUCGGAUUAGCCAGUUGGCGGGGUAACGGCCCACCAAAGCGAUGAUCCGUAGCCGGCCUGAGAGGGCGACCGGCCACAUUGGGACUGAGACACGGCCCAAACUCCUACGGGAGGCAGCAGGUGGGGGAUAUUGCACAAUGGGGGGAAACCCUGAUGCAGCGAACCGCCGCGUGAAGGAGGAAGUGCUUCGGCAUGUAAACUUCUAUCAGCAGGGAAGAAGAUGACGGUACCUGCACAAGAAGCCCCGGCUAACUACGUGCCAGCAGCAGC